Molecule: transfer RNA, 74 nt
Filed under: Acidimicrobiales bacterium
Lineage: Bacteria; Bacillati; Actinomycetota; Acidimicrobiia; Acidimicrobiales
Also listed under: 1 other name
Description: tRNA-His
Rfam family: tRNA
About the family: Transfer RNA (tRNA) molecules are approximately 80 nucleotides in length. Their secondary structure includes four short double-helical elements and three loops (D, anti-codon, and T loops).
Source: RNAcentral
GCGGCCGUAGCUCAGGUGGUUAGAGCGUCUGGUUGUGGCCCAGAAGGUCGGGGGUUCAAGUCCCCUCGGUCGCC